CCUAGCUGGGCCAGUGCUAGCUGAUAGGCCUAGGCCUAGCUAGGACGGUGCAGCAGCUGAUGAUGCAGUGUUCGAUAGAAAAGAACAUGGUAGAGUAGUGGAAAGUACCUAUAUGAAGUUGAAAAAAAAACCAGAUAAUGAUGGACAUUAGUUGAUAUGAUAAGUUAUGCCAUGGUUAGUAGUUGAUAUCGUUUUAACUCUUUGGUUACCCUGUCAAUUGUUGCUCAUUACCAAUUGUUUUUUACUGUAACAUAUUUCAAAUCUCUGAAUUUUCAGAUAAGUGUUGGCACAUCUCACAGAUACGUGUGAAAAACAUUCAUCCCAUCAACCAUUGUUGGCUAUCAAAGAAGAGAAACCUGUGCUCACAACUACAGAAUGAUGGAUCAGCCCUGAUAAUACAAAUACAAGAUCACUAACCUUCCUAGGCCUAACUACAAUACACUAGUACGCGACCUUCGCAAGCCGCCGGCAGCGGGUAAUGAAUUUUAGAAUGUUUCAAAAAGCAACAAUAUUUGUGAUCAUACGGCAUUACCAAGGAGGUGAAAGCUGUAGAAAGCUCCCACUCAGAUCGGUACAUACUUAACAAAAGAUAAUUGACAAGUUAAAAAGUAAUUAAUUGCUCUGUUUUUGUUUUUUAGUUUACCUUUCUGCAAAGUGCACAUAAUUGAUUUAUUUAUAUUUUCUAAAUUCAGGGUUUU
This is a long non-coding RNA of Anneissia japonica, 698 nucleotides long. RefSeq lists it as uncharacterized. Lineage: Eukaryota; Metazoa; Echinodermata; Crinoidea; Comatulida; Comatulidae. The record is from RefSeq and is a predicted model, not a curated record. The transcript has 4 exons.